RNAcentral lists this transfer RNA (88 nucleotides) under Nitrospira sp. Its description in RNAcentral is "tRNA-Ser". It matches the Rfam family "tRNA". Rfam says of the family: Transfer RNA (tRNA) molecules are approximately 80 nucleotides in length. The record is from RNAcentral. Lineage: Bacteria; Pseudomonadati; Nitrospirota; Nitrospiria; Nitrospirales; Nitrospiraceae.
GGAGGGGUGCUGGAGUGGACGAACAGGCCGGUCUUGAAAACCGGAGUCCUUCACCGGACCGUGGGUUCGAAUCCCACCCCCUCCGCCA